UNGCCAGGGUCUACUGUGUGCCUGAGC
RNAcentral lists this non-coding RNA (27 nucleotides) under Mus musculus (house mouse). Lineage: Eukaryota; Metazoa; Chordata; Mammalia; Rodentia; Muridae. The record is from RNAcentral.